RNAcentral lists this ribosomal RNA (753 nucleotides) under Paenibacillus sepulcri. Its description in RNAcentral is "partial 16S ribosomal RNA". It matches the Rfam family "Bacterial small subunit ribosomal RNA", at positions 28 to 756 of the family's 1533-position model. Lineage: Bacteria; Bacillati; Bacillota; Bacilli; Caryophanales; Paenibacillaceae. The record is from RNAcentral.
GACGAACNNNNGNNGGGNGGCCUUANACACNNNCAANUCGAGNGNAUNAAAGGGGNNCGCNNGNNUNCNUCUUAAGUUAGCGGCGGACGGGUGAGUAACACGUAGGCAACCUGCCUCAAAGCCUGGGAUAACAUUCGGAAACGGAUGCUAAUACCGGAUAAACCAUUGGGCUGCAUGGCCNAAUGAUGAAAGGCGGAGCAAUCUGCCGCUUAGAGAUGGGCCUGCGGCGCAUUAGCUAGUUGGUGGGGUAACGGCUCACCAAGGCGACGAUGCGUAGCCGACCUGAGAGGGUGAUCGGCCACACUGGGACUGAGACACGGCCCAGACUCCUACGGGAGGCAGCAGUAGGGAAUCUUCCGCAAUGGACGAAAGUCUGACGGAGCAACGCCGCGUGAGUGAUGAAGGUUUUCGGAUCGUAAAGCUCUGUUGCCAGGGAAGAACGAGUGGGGGAGUAACUGCCCUUGCUAUGACGGUACCUGAGAAGAAAGCCCCGGCUAACUACGUGCCAGCAGCCGCGGUAAUACGUAGGGGGCAAGCGUUGUCCGGAAUUAUUGGGCGUAAAGCGCGCGCAGGCGGUUUUGUAAGUCGGGUGUUUAAGCUCGGGGCUCAACCCCGAUACGCAUUCGAAACUGCAAGACUUGAGUGCAGAAGAGGAAAGUGGAAUUCCACGUGUAGCGGUGAAAUGCGUAGAGAUGUGGAGGAACACCAGUGGCGAAGGCGACUUUCUGGGCUGUAACNGACGCUGAGGCGCGA